UGAGGAAUAUUGCGCAAUGGGGGCAACCCUGACGCAGCAACGCCGCGUGAGUGGGGAAGGUUUUCGGAUCGUAAAGCUCUGUCGAGUGGGAAGAAAUGUAUCAUGGCUAAUAUCCAUGAUACUUGACGGUACCGCUAAAGGAAGCACCGGCUAACUCCGUGCCAGCAGCCGCGGUAAUACGGGGGGUGCAAGCGUUGUUCGGAAUUAUUGGGCGUAAAGAGCGUGUAGGCGGCUGAAUAAGUCAGAUGUGAAAUCCCUGGGCUUAACUCAGGAAGUGCAUUUGAAACUAUUCAGCUCGAGUAGGGGAGAGGAAAGUGGAAUUCCUGGUGUAGAGGUGAAAUUCGUGGAUAUCAGGAGGAACACCGGUGGCGAAGGCGACUUUCUGGCCCUAUACUGACGCUGAGACGCGAGAGCGUGGGUAGCAAACA
Molecule: ribosomal RNA, 428 nt
Filed under: uncultured prokaryote
Description: bacterial SSU rRNA
Rfam family: Bacterial small subunit ribosomal RNA
Source: RNAcentral